Long non-coding RNA from Equus caballus (horse), 1623 nucleotides. RefSeq lists it as uncharacterized. The record is from RefSeq and is a predicted model, not a curated record. NCBI's taxonomy places the organism in Eukaryota, Metazoa, Chordata, Mammalia, Perissodactyla, Equidae.
AAAACCCAUAUUUAUGACAUUCAUAAAUUGACUACCAUGUUGAUUUGCUUCCACAAAUCUUCAAUAUAAAAUGAGUUGGAUGAUAUACCUUUCUCAUUAUCAUGAGUUUUGUGAUAUUUAUUGAACAUUUAUUACUUGAGAAGAUAAAGCUGUCUCGAGACAUAUUAUAGGAAAGCGAAAGAAAUUAUUAGAUUUAUGCAUGAGAUCUGUUUGUUUUUAUCAUAUCUUAGAGAAAGAAGCCAUUAUUAUGUCAGAAUGCCCUGAGGUGCGUGACUGUCCUUACUAUGUUAAUAUAUGAAUUGUUCUUUCUCAUUAAGACAUUUCAGCUGAAGAUAAAUGUAAGUGCAAUUCAUUGGCAUUGCAUUUAAUAAUCUAAAAGAAAAAGAGUUUGGAGAGUAGUCAGGAUUUCUUGACUUACUUUUACUUAUUUAUUAAAACUAACUUAAUAGAAAUGUACUUAUUUUUUAAACUAUUCCAGAAAUAACUUUAAGUUGCAGAUAUAAAUGACGCCCAGCUUGAAUUUAUUGUUCUGUGUAUGAUUAUUCUGAAAAUGCAUCAAUUACUACACUGACACAUCACUUCCCAAAGCGUGUUCCAGAGCACACUAGUUAGAAUGCUCACUGUUGUUGCAUAUACACAUUCAAAUGCAUCACACUGGUAGGGAGUUUAAGAAACACUAGAUCAACCUCCAGAGGGUCUCGUAGCCUUCAGUAUGUUAAAACACAGUAUGAGUCGCCAAGGGGAAAUACGCUGUAUAAUGUAUUCUCUGCACAGUACUUCGCGAAUGUUCUUGAGUAUAGACCAGAACCUCUUUUCGUGGAGCAGUUUGGAAAAUCUGAGUUCCAAGGAACAUAUUUUGGGAAACAUAUGAUACAAUGGUUAUUCAAGCCUGACCAGGAAAAACAAAAGAUUCAUUCAGCCCCAAAACCAAUUAUUGUGGAACCAACCAAACUGAACUGCAUUGUCAGGAAAAAAUUCCCUCCCUUCCUCCACCUCCCACAAAAAUUAGCUUUAGUGUAAUCUGAUUUUGCAGAGUCAGGGCUGAUGAAAAUAUUCAACAUGGCGUAACAGGCUGGUUUCUCAAGGGCUGGUGAAUGUCCUUUUAACUCUAUGCUAAAUUGAUUUUUCUUUUCCAUGUUUGAAAAAUUGAGAUAACGUCAACCAAUGUAUGAGAAAUUUAGGACAUUUUGAAGGAUUUGAGUAUCACACUUUUUUUCUGAUUAUCUAUUGAUGAAUGGAUAUAAAAGAGGCACCUUCAAUUGUCAAAGGAAUCUUUACUUUUAAUCACCAAAGAGCAACAAAUUCAGGGCAAAAACGUCAAUAGCUAAAGGGAGCAAUUCACUCACCAACGUAAGGACUUUCAUCUCCACGACAAAAGCACAGAUAAAUGAUCUAUUGCUGAAACCUCAGAAGGCAGACAGACACCCAUAAGGGAAAGAUUUGCCCUGAGCUAACAUCUGUUGCCAGUCUUCCUCCCGAAAGCCCCAGCACAUGGCUGUCUAUCUGGUUGAGAUGGUUCUAAUAAGAAUGCUUCCUGAACUAUGGAUAAGAACAAGAUGCUAUCUUAGCCCUAAUAGACGCACAAAAUCCCGCCUCUGUGUGAUCCAGGCUAUCACCCUUCAG